GCACAGAGGACGCAAGAAGGCCGGUCACCGGUUUGACACAUGCAUGGAGAGGCUGCACCGGAGAGCAGCACUGCGUCCUGCUCUGUGGGUGUGCACCUGUGUGUAUGUGUGUAUGUGUGUAUGUGUGUGUGUGUGUGUGUGUGUGUGUAGGUUUUUUUUUACCGAAUAAUUGUGCGUCUUCACUUUUGUUGUGAUCACUCCCUCUCCCCGCCUUCAUUCACAAUAUGUUUCCACUACGUAAAAUCCUAUAGGCUCUGUGUUAUGUAAUUGAUGUCUGCACUGGCUCCUCGUUUGUUUUCUGAAUGGACACAUUUGGAGAGAACACAGAGCUGCUGAGUGUGCAGCAGGAAUCCAACAUUUCACUUUGAUGUAUAAGCUUUUCAGCAUGGGCAUGCAUGAUUAUUAUAAAUGUGUAUAUGAAUUGGAGCAUAUUGAUUGACAGGCUUGCAGUGUGGGUGAGUAAUAAAGUAGAAAUCAUAUUGUCACAAAAGCUGGAUGGAAUACCCUUCAUGUGAAACAGAAAAACUCCACGUCAACUUAAUACCUGUAUUUUUGGACAUUUUAUUGUUUGAUGAAUUGGGAGAGGGUACUUGUGUCUUGUGUGUGUGUGUGUGUGUGUGUGUGUGUGUGUGUGUGUGUGUGUGUGUGUCUGCGUGUGCGUGUGUGUGUGUGUGCGUGUGUGUGUGUGUGUGUGUGUGUGUGUGUACAUUGCCAUGAAACAUAAAUCAUGGUAGUUGUGAACCCAUACUGACCAGUUUGGAAACUAUAGAUGUCCAAGCUUACUGUGGUAUAAUUUACAACAACAAUAACAAAAAAAAAAAUCACCUGGGGUUGGGCUACAUAUUCCCUCUAAAAAAUAUACUGAUGGUCACAAGAUUGCCUUCUUAUGUAAAAUUAAAAAAAGGAGAGUAGUUAAUUUGACACUGGGUUUUAUUUAUUCCUAUGGUAUUAAGGGAUUAUAAUGCAGCUGUUGUCACGGUACCAAUUUCAAUCAUUUUACUGAAAUGUUGACUUCCUGUCGCCGUUGGCGGCGGCGGGGGUAAAUAUUUCUCACAUGUUUUGUAAUUGUCGUCCAUGCAUUUUGACGGUUGAGUUUACUAAAAAAAUUAGGGUGUGUUGACGAGACAGUAUUUGAGCAAAAAUAUGUUUCUUUUUUUCUGAAGUUUGGAGUUUAACUCAUUUGCAUACACUGCCACUAAUAUCCUACUAAACGACUGUUAAGGCUAGUAGACCUCUUCCAUUUCAAAACAUGAGAAAAAAAGAAAGAUUCUUUUGCUGAUGGUUGUUUUUUAUUUUAGCCUUCUGACGUUCACAGUUAUGGCAGGCUGGCAUAUGCGACUAAACUCUCUCCUUCAUAAUUGCUGCUCCUUAACUCGCACCUGACUGUUAUGGGAUGUAGAUUGAAAUUGUCACUUGAACUAUUGUUAUUGAGUAGCCUACAUGGUUGUAAAUUGAUAAUUAUAAUAUAAGGGUGGGGGGUGGGAGGGUAGGCUUGUUGUUGAUUGGAUCGGUGUUAAAGAGGGAGGGAUUUAAUUGGAAUCAAUCGGAAACAAAUGCCAUCCUGAUCCGAGAGCCUCUGUAUAACCCGUUCAUUACUAUUGCAAAGCUAUUUCAGCAAGUGGGAGCUAAAUGCAUUUAUGUGUUGGCUCUCCCUGAAGGCUCCUGCAACGUUUUGAAAGGAAAUACAGUCUCGAAGCAAAACAAGUAGCUCCAUUGAAACCAUUCGUGAUAUACCACAAGUUGCAGACGGACUUUCUAGACGAUAGUAUACAUUCCUGAUUUUUCUAAAAAUAAAAACCUAGACACAGCAUGUACAGAAUAGAUUUUGGAAGCUAGUGUGCGCAAGUUGUCAUCCAUGCAUCACAUCACGUAAAUGCUCAUUUCUGAUAUUUGAAUUGUUUUGUAUUGCUUUUUAUUCGAAAUAGGACACACACACACAUACACACACACACACGUACAACUGCCUGCAACUGCAAUCUGAAGGAUUUGCUCCUUUAUGUGAGCAAACACUUUUCGUAGUUGUAUCGUUAAAAGAAUAACUAACUGCAUUACAGUACAGUCUUAAAAAGACCUGCUGUAGAUUUAAAAAAAACAAAAAACAACAAAGUGCUACUUUGCACAUUUUCUUAAAAAUGCCUGUGCUUAAUAUUUAAUCAUUUUUCCUUAAAUGAACUUCUAUGAUUUUUCUUUUAUUCAAUUUCAAAGGAAAAAAAAAAACAUUUUUUUAAAUCUUGAUAAGUGGACUGCAUUAUUUUCUUGCAUAUAUGUUGCACUGCUUAAACCAAUAAGUGCACUACUGUUAACAGAGAUAUUAUAGUUUUAGAAAAGAGGAUUUUUUUUUUUUUUUUAAAUCUAACAUUUGGUUGUAGAGUUCACAUGUUAAUAGAAUAGCUUUGUUUCAAUUUAUUCAUUAAGUAAUUCAGCGGUUCUUGGCUUUUGUUAUCGCUUGCAGUUACCUACAGUAUAUCCUCGUGCCGUGUUGAUGCAAGCAUUUAUUUUUAUUUAAAUAUGUACCAUUACGUGUGCUCAUCUACGUUUUAACCUUUUGGAUUCAUUCUUUUUAUGGAGUCAGCUCCCUAUAACAGUUAAUCAAUCUCUUUAGAAACAGACAGAAUUUUCCUACGAGAACAUCCAAGCCAAACAACAUUAACAGUGAAACAGUAAUAAUAAACGCAACUCCCGUCCGUUGGCGGAGGUAAUAAUAAUAAUAACUAUUAUUAUCUUAUUAAUAAUACAUUUAUAAUGUGUGUGUGUAACAUAAAUGAUACGUGUGUCCUAGAACAACUUUGUGUGGUUAAAGGUGUGGGGAGGUGAUGGAAUGCAGCUUCUUUGAUAUCUUGUCUGUCGGUUGUACACAGUCGUGUCCCUUCCUUAGUGUUCGUAUGUCUGUGAGUGUCUGUGUGGUUAUAAAGCCUAAUCAAACUGUUAAUAAGUGGAAUAUCUGAACUGUAGGGCUUCCUUUGCAAUAUGCAGAGCAGGUACUAUGUAUGAGAAGCAGCUCUCCAAACCCUUUUGGGCUAAUACGCCACCUGUUGUUCGGAGAUUUGACGGCGGAGUCAAGUACUGUUGUACUUCCGUUUGGAGAAGUUCUAUCCAGCAUUUUGAAUUUUCAUAUAAUUGCUACUAGAUUUCUGAUCCCUGUGGUGAAGUGAAGUCAAGUGAUGAACAUGUGAGAGAUUCUGGUUUCUCCAAAAAAAAAAAAAAGGUUAGGUGAGGUCAGUCCUCAGUAAAAGUAGCACAUUAUUUAACAUUUGAUUGGGCCUGUCUCCUUAUGGUGCGCAUUAUAAGCCUAAAUUGUUCCCUGUUUGUAGCUGUCGUUGCCGGGAUGGCGAUAUUGCUGCAUGCUAGUGCUAUAUUUGUCUCUACACAGCACGUGGAGGGUAAUCUCAUGCCUUAACGGACAAUGCACUAAAUAGAAUAUGUAAGCAACUGCCGAGAUCUCUUUUCCAACAGUACUGCCACAUGUUAUGGCGCACAGCUCACAACGUUGGUGUUGUUGUCUGUUCAAGUUAAACACUGCCAAACUAACACCGUCACUUCUUCGAAGGCAGAGAAUUGUUUCAGUGUAACGUGUGUGUGUGUGUUCGGUAAUCUAGCAUUCCUUCAUGGCACCUAAAUUUUUACAUAUUUUGUGUAAACACAUAUAUCAAAUGCACUAUUGACUGUAGCUAGAUGAGUACAACCAGCUUUGUGGUAUCAUUGGUCUAAAUAGUAGGUUAAGUAGCUCAAUGUUUGAAAUAUUUGAUUUCAGAAUUACACUAUCGAUUGUUUCUCUAUCUUCUUCUCUCUUAUUUUUUUUUUGGAAUAACAAAAGUAGCCAAUCUCAACGUUAUCCGGAUGAGGGCUAAUAACUCGUCCCAUCGUCAGUUCUUGUAUCAUACGGUGUUUUGAUAGCAGACCAGGCUCGUAAAGGGGAAAAACCUUCUCUCCAGUGUGUCAUAACGUGCUAUAGCAUACCCUAACCCUCCCCUGUUGCAUUAGCAUCACACGCUCUCCACUGUCCAUAGUUAUAUAUUCCUUAUACUGCUUCAGCUACUCGUAGUGGUGCUUAUUAAUUCUCUUUUCUCUCAGUGUUGCGAAAAAGUCGGUUAAAAAUCGUUGAAAAGUUGCAACAUUAUCCAGAAAAUAAGUCCUUAUCUCAAUCGUGCUUCUUCUAGUUGUUAGUUUGAAAAAAAGAAAGAAAAAAAAACAGAAAAAAAAGUCUUUAUGUUUGCAAAGUGUUCGCAUAUUUUCCAGAACAAAAACAUAUUGAAAAGUAGAUACUAGCCUUGAGCCUGCAGCUGUUUGUAUUGUGUUUCAAAUAUAUUACUGUUCAUGUUUUGUUUAUCUAGCGUAGAGACACAGGGUCUACAGUACAUUGUUGUCCUUCUUGCAGUAUGUUUAAUUCAUCGUUAUACUUCUUUAUUUCAGACUUCCUCCUGCUUUUGUUUUUGUUUUUAAUGGUGAUCAUAGUGGUGUUGUUUAUACAUACAUAGCUUUCACGCAACUGGAUAAAGGAUAGUCAGUUAUUGAGUCAUAUUUCACAGUGUACUAUAUAUAUGCUUAUAUGCUUUGCAUUGAAAACAAGGAAAUGGAAGAUAGUAAUGGUGAGGGUCAUGUUGAGUAAGGAACAGGUUUGUUUUAUUCUGAUAAGCAUGCGUCUGUCUUCCUGUUUGUCUUUCAGUCUGUCUCCACACAUUUUUUUUUUUUAAAGUCAGAUCUUUUUUAUUUAAGCUUGAAUGAAGUCACAAAGUGAAGAGUAGAAUACAGAAAACACAUCCAGAUAAUUUUUCUUUUUUGGGCCUUCAACAGUACACAUAAGAAUGAAAUAGAUAACUUCUUACAAAUAUAUAUACGAUAUAUAUUUAAGUAUCACCAUCUCCACACAGAUGAAGAUUACAUUUACAAUUUAAAGACAUACUUGCAGCUAGAGUAUACAGUAUACAGUACCAUGUGGGAUUUAGGGGAUAUGCCUAUCAAGUGCCUAUCAGUACAUACAGCAACUAUACAGAAUAUUCAUAGUUUUUCUCUCCUACAUUGCACAGAUACAGUAUAUACACAAUGGUCUAUUAAAACAAAUACUAUUUAUACUACUACUGCUAAGACCUACAUCCUAAGAGAACCCUUUAAAAAUGUUCUAUUUCAUAUACAGUAAAAGCUACAUCUGCAAGUUUUAUUUUUUAUCCUACAUCUAUACGGUCUGGAGGAUUCAAAGAUAUAAAAUGCAAUCACAUUUUUUUAAAUGAAAUAUACAAAUAGGUUGAGUAGAAAAAUAUUAUGUAAUCUUAAAAUUGAAUGACCUUUUUUUUCUUUCACGUUGCUCUCUCUCUCUCAUUGCUGUUUGGCAUUUUACACAAUGCCAGUUUUAGUUUCAGUUUUUCGCCAUUUGCAAACAAGCCAUAUACUGUACUGUAUGUUUGUGGGGGGGGGGGAAGGGUAGUGGCACUUUGUGAACAGCAGAGGGAGCCACACAUCAACUGGUGAAGUUAACACUGCCUGCCACAAUGAACAAAAUAUCGAAAUAUCGAAUAUUUGGAUUUUUUUGAUUCAGUUGUUGGUAAAUAUUGCCAUUCUUCAGAUUGGAAUAGCAUCUAUAAGCAUGGCAGUAGUUACCCACAAUGGCACUUUGUGUCCUUUGCCCUUGAUGACUCUAUAACAUGCAAGCCACUGCCCAGUUCCCCCACAACGACCAUUAAAGUUUUAUCUUAUCUGACGGCCUUGUUGUUUACGUGCAGCUUGAAAUUGUAAAGGGCAAGCAACGAGCAGCGUGAAAAAAAAAAAAAAAAAAGAAACUGGUCAUUUAGAUAUUUAUCCACUCCAGUACUUGGAUGCAAAAUGAGAUUACAAAUUUAGAUAAGAUAAAAUAAGAUUUAUUAGUCCCACAUCGGGGAAAUUCGCAAAUUAAAAAUUACAUUCAAUUAAAUUGAAAGUUUUGGCAACAGCGGACACACACAAAGAGCAUUCAAACGUCUUUAAGUGGUUGGUUUAACAACGUGAAAACAAAACUAAAAGAAAAUCUAGUAGAAUAAAAAGCAAGUUUCAGGACCGAGUGGCUGCGAGAUAAAAGGUUUUGGGAUGGCUUAUUAUUCUGUCCCCUGUGGACUAAUUAGUUUUCUCUGUAACCUUCUCCAGCCUAGUUACUGUGCCAAAUUUAGGAGGGGAAAAAAAACAAAUUGCACCACUAUUGUUGAAUUAGAUGUGAGAACAAAAGCAGACAAAAAUCUUUUUUUAAAUAAGAAAUUUCUGCAAAACCUAUAACAUAAUAUAUUACAUCAAAUUAAAAUGCAUCAUACCAAAAGCAAGUGAUUGCCUUUAUUUUGAAUCUUUAAAUCCUCCAUAAUACAUAGUUUUCAAGUAAAUAGGAGAAAACAGCUAUGAUAAACAAAUGCACAUUUUGAAGGCUUAGUUUCAUAGACAUUUAACGUUAAAAUGAAGCAUAAUAAUAAUAAUAAUAAUAAUAAUAUAGGCAAUGUGAUAUAGCUAGUCCCUGUCAUCCAGCCGUCACACUGUGACGCAAACACAAACAGCAUCUAUUACAGUCAAACAUCCAGAUUUUGAUUUUGAGCUUCACACACACUCAGUGAAGCAGAUUUUUAAAGUACGACGCAGCUAAACUAAGCUAUAACAUCUACAUUAUAUUCACUAUGACGCUUUCUCCGAACAUGCAGUUAUUACACUACCCUGAUGAGGUUUUUAAUAAACAUCACCAUCAGGUUAACUACCAUCCAUCAGUCCAAAUGAAGCAUGCAGUCCUGUCUACACAGCUUCUUUCUUUCCUGUAGGGGAGUUCUUUGUUUUUGAUGGAGCACGAGCUAUAUUUUGAGUGUCCCUCGAUAACAGGCUUUCUGUAUCUUUUUUAUCACAGUGAUGAGGAGACUUGGGCGUGAUUUAGCCUCUGAAGACUAAACAUUGAGCCUCUUUGUGUUCUCACUCGUCUUUUUUUUUGUUGUUGUUUUUUGGCUUAGUCCAGCUUCGACGAGACGAUUAAACUAAAAACAUGCAUUCCUGUUCAAGUCCAGAUCAUUCCAACUCCUAGUCUGGCAUUCGUUUUUCCACGCUUAACUAACCUUUUACACAUCUGUUGGAUAUUUGGUCAUGUAGUAGCAAACAUUGCCCAUUACAUCAAAAGUUUAGUAUAUUUCCCUCAAAUAGAUCACUUUUUUAAUCUCAUAAUUCAAAAAUUUUGCCACAAACCUCAUGAGCUUAUGCUUGUGUGGGCCGGUUUCUAUAACCAACAUGCACUAUGCUAUCACUCUGUUUCUCUAUGUAGAUCUCUCUUUCAUAGUGCAGAGAAAUAAAAUACAAAAAAAGCAGCAAAAAGAUCACUGUCUCAGCCAGCACAUAGUCCGCCAGAAUGGACAUGCAGAUCCAAACUUUUAGCACUGUAAUGUACCUAAAGGAGGCCGGUGGAGGUCAUUUGUAAAGCGGGGCCAUGCUAAUCAUUAGAAGUCAAAUGAUAAAAAAAAAAAAA
Sebastes umbrosus (honeycomb rockfish) is the source of this 7450-nucleotide long non-coding RNA. RefSeq lists it as uncharacterized. The transcript is spliced from 2 exons. The record is from RefSeq and is a predicted model, not a curated record. Lineage: Eukaryota; Metazoa; Chordata; Actinopteri; Perciformes; Sebastidae.